UUCGCAAUGCCCGAAAGGGUGACGAAGCGACGCCGCGUGAGCGAAGAAGGCCCUAGGGUUGUAAAGCUCUGUCAGGGGUUAGGAAAUGUAGGUCGGUUAAUACCCGGCUUAUAUGACAAAAGCCCCAAAGGAAGCCACGGCUAACUCUGUGCCAGCAGCCGUGGUAAUACAGAGGUGGCAAGCGUUGUUCGGUAUUAUUGGGCGUAAAGAGCACGUAGGUGGUUUUGUAAGUCAGAUGUGAAAGCCUUCUGUUCAAAGGAAGAACGGCAUCUGAAACUGCGGAUCUUGAGUGUAGGAGGGGAGGGUGGAACUUCUGGUGGAGCGGUGAAAUGCGUAGAUAUCAGAAGGAACGUCGGCGGCGAAAGCGACUCUCUGGCCUAUUACUGACACUGAGUGUGCGAAAGUUAGGGGAGCAAACGGGAUUAGAUACCCCGGCAGUCCUAACCGUAAACGAUGGGCACUAAGUAGAGGGGUUUU
Molecule: ribosomal RNA, 477 nt
Filed under: Candidatus Scalindua wagneri
Lineage: Bacteria; Pseudomonadati; Planctomycetota; Candidatus Brocadiia; Candidatus Brocadiales; Candidatus Scalinduaceae
Description: bacterial SSU rRNA
Rfam family: Bacterial small subunit ribosomal RNA
Source: RNAcentral